AACAACUGGAUGUCAACAUUCCAGCUAGUUUGAAUGAAGAGGACAAAGUGGAAGAGCUGGCCAAGGAUCAGAUUUGUCUGCAGGAUAAUUGCACUGAAGACAAUGAAGUGGAGGAGCAAGACGACAAUCACGUAUUCUGGCAAUACGAAUUUGGGCCCCAGCUGGGUAAAGGAGGCGGUGGCUGUGUGUAUGCAGCGACUCGCUGCACGGAUGGCCUU
Molecule: long non-coding RNA, 218 nt
Organism: Puntigrus tetrazona (Sumatra barb)
Lineage: Eukaryota; Metazoa; Chordata; Actinopteri; Cypriniformes; Cyprinidae
Exons: 3
Source: RefSeq, a predicted model, not a curated record